UUCAUCACUGCAAGUCUAUUAUAGGAUUAGUCAGGACACUGUUGGGUUUCUGUGUGUAGAGUAUCAUGUCUCUGGGACAGUAUGUACUGCAUUCAAUUCAGUACUUACUUCUCAGCCACUGAUACAGUAUAUGUGUGUAUAUGAAUUUUUUCUUGUUUAAACCUUCAACAAGUUAACAGUCUAUUCAGGUGUUGUUAAACAAGUACGGUUUAACCACAAGGAACAAGGAACAACUUUUAGUAACUUUCGCACUUACACUUUAAAAGAGCCGACACGCUGCAUUCCUCCAUUUUUGAUUCUGACGGCUCUUCCGUGCCAGUCCCAUUGCAUUAUGAGAUAGCGCAGUGUGCAUUGGAUCCAUACUGGGUUAUUAGCAAGCAGCCUCUGUGUUCAGCUGCUGGUGAGAAGGGUGAUGGGAAAGGGUAGGGGUAAGAGCCCCAUGCUGGGCAAAGAAUUCACAGCUCUCCACGAUAAGAUUGGUACAGAGAUAAAACCGACCUCACAACUAAAGCUUUUUUCAUAGUAAAACCUCAUAUACAACCACCACAAUAUACUUCUAAAUUUUAAAUGUAGUAGGUCAGGUAAAAAAAGAAAUACUGCUGAAAAACUGCAAAUUCUUAGAUGCCCGAGUGUCUACUUUCAUAUGAUCCAUUAACCACUACUGUGGAGUGUGACACACAUAGGUUCAAUGCUGGCAUCCCGCUGGCAUCCCACUGGCACCCAAAACAUGCAGAAAUUCCCAUUUUUUGGCCUCUGGUAAAAAAAAAAAAAAAAGAAAGAAAAAAGGAAAAAAAAGAAUUAACAUAAUGCAUUGGAACUGUCAUAUAAUAUUUCAGGGGAAUCAAAUUCAAAAUUUGUGAGUACCAGAUUUUCUUUGUUGAUGUAGUCUCACAGACAGACAUGUAACUAUGAUCCAGGGGAUAGGAAUACAAACAGAUGCAGGAAAGAGAGAGUUUCCCAUCAGGAAACAGGCACAGGAUGCAGAGCGGAGUUUGGGCCUGGCACAACCAUGUGUACACGUACACACACACACACACACACAAAAGUAUAUACAAGAUACAAGAGUACACAUUCCAUUCCCAACAGACAAACCCAGUUAACAUCCCUCAUCAGGGUAAAAUGUUUUGGCUUGUACACAUGCAGUCUAUUUGUAUACAGUACAUUACAUAACUGCUCGACAGUCAAAAAAGAGUCAAAACCCAGGCAAGCUUGAAAUUACACAUUUAGGAACUUGAGAGGGUUUGCACACUGGCAUGACCUUAAAGAGUUUCUGUGGCUUGGUGUUCUGAAAAAAAGGAACGCUCCACCAAGUCCCAGCUUAGGACACAAAUUGCAGGAGGAUAUGAGUUUGAUCUUGGUGAGAAUUUCAUCUUUCUUUGUAAGUGCCAUUUUCUGGCAGGCUGUUGAAGCCAGGCUGCAUAAACAUGCUCACCAGAACCGCACAGUUACAUAACAGAGAAGUCACAAACCAGCUUUCAUAUUGUGUGGCUGUGUGUGUGUGUGUGUGUGUGUGUGUGUAGAAAUUAGUUUUCUCUACGGUGGUCUGUUAUGUAUCAUGUCAGUUAUAUUUCCCACAGCAUUCAGUACACUAAUAAACUGCCAGAUUAAAUCUAAAAUUGCUGGAAAUCCUUAAACAAAAUCUCUGCGAUAACUGCAAUUUUGUUGGAUAAUGUAGAUUGAAAAACUCUAAAUUGGCAAGACAAGUAAUUGAGGCAUUGGGUGUCAUGUGCAAUGUAUAUUUUCAUGCGCAGAAUAAAUUAAUGCUAUGCAAAAAACCCACAAAAAUCUGUUUCAUUUUGUGAACUGAACUGACAGAUUCAUUUUUUUAACAAAAGGAAAUCAUUUUGUGGAGGAAAUGUUCUUAGGGCUGCGAAUACUUUUAAUGUGUCACUGAAUAAUGUCUCUGGGGUCACGUCAUGCUAUGAAAAACUCGUUUUAAACUAUAUUUGUGUUUG
Molecule: long non-coding RNA, 1955 nt
Organism: Ictalurus punctatus (channel catfish)
Lineage: Eukaryota; Metazoa; Chordata; Actinopteri; Siluriformes; Ictaluridae
Source: Ensembl